UAGGGAAUAUUGCGCAAUGGACGAAAGUCUGACGCAGCAACGCCGCGUGGGUGAUGAAGGUCUUCGGAUUGUAAAACCCUGUCGGUGGGGAAGAACCGUGCAAGCGUAACUGCCUUGCACCUGACGGUACCCACAGAGGAAGUCCCGGCUAACUCCGUGCCAGCAGCCGCGGUAAUACGGAGGGGACAAGCGUUGUUCGGAUUUACUGGGCGUAAAGGGCGCGUAGGCGGGCCUUCAAGUCGGCUGUGAAAUCUCUGAGCUUAACUCAGAGUCUGCACUCGAUACUGUAGGUCUUGAGUACCGGAGAGGAUGAUGGAAUUCCAGGUGUAGCGGUGAAAUGCGUAGAUAUCUGGAAGAACACCAGUAGCGAAGGCGGUCAUCUGGACGGAUACUGACGCUAAAGCGCGAAGGCUUGGGGAGCAAACAGG
RNAcentral lists this ribosomal RNA (428 nucleotides) under uncultured bacterium. Its description in RNAcentral is "bacterial SSU rRNA". It matches the Rfam family "Bacterial small subunit ribosomal RNA", at positions 355 to 776 of the family's 1533-position model. The record is from RNAcentral.